AAACAUUACCCGACAUCAGGUGCUUUGCUUAAAAUGGGAAUCCCGUGAAAAUCGGGAACGGUCCCGCCGCUGUAAUUGGUUAGCCACCGCAGAUGCCACUGUUUUCAACAAAUUGAAAACGGGAAGGUGCGGUAAAGGUGCAAAAGCCAAAAGUCAGAAGACCUGCCUGGAUGUUUUGUCGUAU
RNAcentral lists this non-coding RNA (184 nucleotides) under Desulfocicer vacuolatum. Lineage: Bacteria; Pseudomonadati; Thermodesulfobacteriota; Desulfobacteria; Desulfobacterales; Desulfobacteraceae. The record is from RNAcentral.